GACGAACGCUGGCGGCGUGCUUAACACAUGCAAGUCGAGCGGUAAGGCCCUUUCGGGGGUACACGAGCGGCGAACGGGUGAGUAACACGUGGGUGACCUGCCCUUAGCUCUGGGAUAAGCCUGGGAGACUGGGUCUAAUACCGGAUAUGACUCCAUGACGCAUGUUGUGGGGUGGAAAGCCUUGUGCGGCUAGGGAUGGGCCCGCGGCCUAUCAGCUUGUUGGUGGGGUGAUGGCCUACCAAGGCGACGACGGGUAGCCGGCCUGAGAGGGCGACCGGCCACACUGGGACUGAGACACGGCCCAGACUCCUACGGGAGGCAGCAGUGGGGAAUCUUGCGCAAUGGGCGAAAGCCUGACGCAGCGACGCCGCGUGGGGAUGACGGCCUCG
This 389-nucleotide ribosomal RNA is filed under the name uncultured bacterium. RNAcentral's name for it is "bacterial SSU rRNA". It matches the Rfam family "Bacterial small subunit ribosomal RNA", at positions 28 to 419 of the family's 1533-position model. The record is from RNAcentral.